GGGGGCGUAGCUCAGUUGGGAGAGCGCCUGCCUUGCACGCAGGGAGGUCAGGGGUUCGAUCCCCCUAGUCUCCACCA
Molecule: transfer RNA, 77 nt
Filed under: Phascolarctobacterium sp.
Lineage: Bacteria; Bacillati; Bacillota; Negativicutes; Acidaminococcales; Acidaminococcaceae
Description: tRNA-Ala
Rfam family: tRNA
About the family: Transfer RNA (tRNA) molecules are approximately 80 nucleotides in length.
Source: RNAcentral